CGCGCCUACAGGGAGAGUCAGGAAGUUGUCGCGAGAUGAGGAAAUCCUGACGCUGGGUUUGUCUUCCUGACCCGGGAGGUGAAAAGUUUUUGUUUCCCGUUUCCAUAAAGGACAGUUACUUAGAAGUUGCCAUUGUUACCGAAACGCCAGGUUAUAUAGUCCUCUGCUUUUAAACCUUUAGUCAUGACAAUGGACAUGAAGUGAGAGGGUGAUGUCUGGGCCUCAGCUGUCAUCUGUCCUAUGCUGGCAUUGGAUGAACCUUAUCAAGUUCCGUCUUUGCUAUGAAAAUCUCAGAAUGGACUGCAAUGUUGCUGUCACUCCUUUUGCAUGGGAUGACACUGUAGCAGCUUUUCCUGAGCCCUUCACUUGUGGGGCAUCACCAGGUGGGGAAGACAGAACAAGUGACACUCAAUCCAAUUGGUGUAUCACAGGAGAAGAAAGAAAUCACCUAAACUGGACCAUCUAUACUCCAUUAGGGAAGGCACCACCUGUAAUGGUCUUGGGCACUGGUUUAAGCAUGACACAAUAAUAGGUGCCAAAACAAUUUUCACAGUGUUGGACAACAAAGAAGACAGAAAAGCAUCUCUGAGAACAUCAUUUUCCAGUAUGAAGAUGUAGCUGUUUACUUAGGAGUGAUUUCCUCAAAACUCUUCCCAGAUUACAAAUGUUGUACUUCAACAUGUAUAUAAAGAAUAUGAAUAAAAUUUCAACUUUAAAUGAGUUUGAAGCUUAAAUAGUUUCCAGAUAUUAGAAGAACUAGUUGGAAGAUGAGCUUAAGUAAACCUCUUAAA
This is a long non-coding RNA of Neofelis nebulosa (Clouded leopard), 791 nucleotides long. RefSeq lists it as uncharacterized. The record is from RefSeq and is a predicted model, not a curated record. The transcript has 6 exons. Lineage: Eukaryota; Metazoa; Chordata; Mammalia; Carnivora; Felidae.